This 434-nucleotide ribosomal RNA is filed under the name uncultured Lachnospiraceae bacterium. Its description in RNAcentral is "partial 16S ribosomal RNA". It matches the Rfam family "Bacterial small subunit ribosomal RNA", at positions 341 to 792 of the family's 1533-position model. Lineage: Bacteria; Bacillati; Bacillota; Clostridia; Lachnospirales; Lachnospiraceae. The record is from RNAcentral.
ACGGAAGGCAGCAGUGGGGAAUAUUGCACAAUGGGCGCAAGCCUGAUGCAGCGAUGCCGCGUGAGGGAAGAAGGUUUUCGGAUUGUAAACCUCUGUCAACAGGGACGAAAAUGACGGUACCUGUGAAGGAAGCUCCGGCUAACUACGUGCCAGCAGCCGCGGUAAUACGUAUGGAGCAAGCGUUAUCCGGAUUUACUGGGUGUAAAGGGUGUGUAGGCGGCGAAGUAAGUCAGAAGUGAAAGACCGGGGCUCAACUCCGGGGCUGCUUUUGAAACUGCAUUGCUGGAGUCCAGGAGAGGCAGGCGGAAUUCCUAGUGUAGCGGUGAAAUGCGUAGAUAUUAGGAAGAACACCGGUGGCGAAGGCGGCCUGCUGGACUGGUACUGACGCUGAGGCACGAAAGCGUGGGGAGCAAACAGGAUUAGAUACCCUGGUA